UUUCAAUAUUAUUUUUAACCUGACUGUGUCCCUUUAAUAGUGACUUUACCUGAGGUCACACAGUGAGUCAGUGGUAAUCUAAAAUAGAAUCCAGUUCUGACUCUCCGUUCUAACUGCUAGUUACCUGCUUCUUCCUCUCCAGUGAUCAUGAUGAUGACAGCAAAAAGGUUCACUUUUAUAAUGUUUUCAAUCUUCCCAUUGACUUCAAUGGGAGUUGGAUCAGGCCCCAAAUGUUUCAAACAGAUAAAUUACAAGCUGGGGACAUCAUCCAUAUUUCCCUUCAGUUUAAGCAAGUGUCUCAAAUAGUCCACCUGCUAGCUCCUUCGUUUUGCUUAUGUUCUUCUUGCCCCUUAAUUGAUGGUCCCCUGCAUGAGAUGGUUCUUCCUUCUCAAGAAUUCUUUAAUAUGUAAUUUUUGCUUGUCCACUUGCCUGUUGGUUCACACUCCAGCAACACUGCAUAGAAAGACAAGUUCCUUAUCAAGUUUUGUAUUUGGGCAGGGCACUGAUGCAAUCUGCUGUCUGGUGAAUCACAUUGCACACAGAUAAAUGAUAAGGAAUUGAAUUACGUGUGUGUAACAUCUCAGGCUGGCCAGCAAUCUAAUAUAGUGCCACAUUGACUUUAUUUGAGAGGAUCAGAACUGCCAACUGUUAUUGGAAGUUUCUGAAAGACCUGAGAUUAAUGCAUCAGAGGAGGCCAAUGAGAGACAAGGAUGCUAGCGUGAGAAUGGAUCAAAAGUAUGGGGAAGGCUCAUCUCCAAAAGGAACCCCAGUCGUGGACCAGAAACCUGUUGUGAGAGGUGGUGUGAAAACACAGCAAAGCCAGUCCCUGCUCCAAAGAGCUGACAGUCUUGGAUUUGGAACAUCAAUACCAAAACCAGCUUGACCAAGAAACAACUCAUUCAAAAAUUUUAAGGACUUAACAUCUUUAAUCCCGUCCCUUGCUAAUGCUGGGCUGCCCGGGCCGAGGGAAGCACGAAGCUGCCGGGGAGAGGGGAUCUGCCCGCCAGCUGCGGAGCGCUCGGCCGCCGAGCCCUGAGCUGC
Molecule: non-coding RNA, 1041 nt
Organism: Chrysemys picta bellii (western painted turtle)
Lineage: Eukaryota; Metazoa; Chordata; Testudines; Emydidae
Source: RefSeq, a predicted model, not a curated record